Prionailurus viverrinus (fishing cat) is the source of this 1224-nucleotide long non-coding RNA. RefSeq lists it as uncharacterized. The record is from RefSeq and is a predicted model, not a curated record. The transcript is spliced from 4 exons. NCBI's taxonomy places the organism in Eukaryota, Metazoa, Chordata, Mammalia, Carnivora, Felidae.
UGGGGCGGUCCCGAAAGGAGCCAGCGACGGCCGUCCCUGCUCGGAAACUGGGGCCCCCGCCCGCCCCUAACACCCCCAGGGCAGCCCUGAAGAGAAGCGAGGAGUCCCCCAGCGCCGUGCUCAGAAGGCCGGCAGAGAGUCAAACGUCAGAUUGUGGAUUCAGACGCAUGAAUUUCACGGAAUCCUUUCUCAUCAAAACAACAGUCAUCUGCCUUGGGAGUCAAUCUGGGUGGACUGCCCAGAGGAGACCACGUGUGCCCCCAGCCCUCACUGACCCGCUCAAGGCAUCUGUCUCUCCUCAUUCCCCUCUCCCUGGCCACAGCCUUGGGGCCAGAGGAGGGUGUGGACCCUGGGCCAGGGCAAACAGUAGGCUCUUCCUGUGGAGCAAAGGGAUGCUGGAGCUGGUGCAGCCUUUUUGGCACCUUGAGGAAUUGUCGAGCAAGGAGACAAAGCGUCCGUGGCUCUGAGUCAUCUCUGGCCUGUUUCUACGGUCCUCAUCGAAACCACCCCACACCGGAGAAUGCGUGAACAACCAGAAGAGGUCCCUGGGAGACAGAAGGGGCCAGGCCAGAAGGACACCUGUCAUGGGGUUCAGACCCACCCUCAACCAGGAUCGGCUCAUCUCCGAUCCUUCACUUUCCCACAUCUGCAAAGACCGUGUUUCCAGACAAGGUCCUGUUGUGAGUUCGGCUGGAGUCCAAAGCAGGGGAGACAGUGUAUAACCCACAGCAGGGUCUUCUGCCCUGACUCACUCCCUCAGGUUGGCCAACACAGCCCAGAAGCCAGCACAACCCGGAUCUCCGGACGCAAGCCGUAAAAAUCAGCACGCAGUGCAGACAGCCGGGUGUGGACGGCUGGAAGAAAGUCUGGGGGCCCAGGGCGGAGACUGAGCAAAGAAGUUACACGUGUCUCAGGACGGCAGCGGGAAACCCCUUCUGCUGGGGCUGAGCCUUCAGCUUGGUUGCAUCAUGAAAACGUCACUCUUGGAAAUAGACGAUUACGAAAAAAGCGGUUAUUUCUUGUCGUGAUUCAUACAAUGCUGCUAUUUUCCCCCAAAAACUCAAACUAAAACCAUUACUUGUGAAAGCUUCCUCAAGUCCUCGCGGUUUCCAUGGAUUGUGCUUUUUUUCAGCCACACGCGAGCUUAUCAAGGUCAACAGCCUUGGUCUCAAACAAAAGCAAACCAUCCAAACAGCUUUGUUUCUGGCUUGUUUUCUCCUAACA